CUAGGCCCUUGAGCACAUCAUUGGUGCUGUCUCUUUGACAAAAAGCAUUUUUAGUUGAUGGAAAAUCACCAACUUUCACCCCUAAAAACAUCUGUGAAGAGCAGAAAACAGCCUGACUCUUAUAGAUGUCCCUGACAGCAAGCCAACCCUGGGAGAAACAAUGGUUUGGAACAAUAGCACCUGAGGUGGAAGAAAACACAGUGGGCCUCUCACUUUCGCUCUCUAACCACAACAAUUGAAAGAGACUAUGGCCUGAAAAAUCUAUCUGCUCCUAAAUGGUACCCAGAUGGAAAUCACAGCUGCUGUCAUGUACCACCUGUACCUACGCCCAUCCAUCUUCAGAACACGCCUGGGGCAGAGGAGAGAAAUCGAGUUGACAGAGCAGUUAAAGAGCCUCUCUUUUCUCCUGCAUACUUUUCCUUUUAUCUUUUUCUCUUCAGUUUCAGAGCUUCUUGUUCUCACCUUCAUGCUGUGGCAAUGCUGACAAAAGAAAACUGCAGCCUCUGAGAACCAGUGGGAAACUGGGAAACUGACACUUCCUGCCUUAUAUUGUUGCAGUUGCAAAGAUCAAAUACCAAGGUUAUGGGAAGAUGUUUUGAAGCCCCAUAUAAAUAUGUAAUUUAAUUUAUUCCAAUAAAGACUCAUUGCACAGGCUGGGCACAA
This 663-nucleotide long non-coding RNA is filed under the name Homo sapiens (human). RNAcentral describes it as "HSALNT0298335". The record is from RNAcentral. Lineage: Eukaryota; Metazoa; Chordata; Mammalia; Primates; Hominidae.